GAUGAACGCUGGCGGCGUGCCUAAUACAUGCAAGUCGAGCGAACAGACGAGGAGCUUGCUCCUCUGACGUUAGCGGCGGACGGGUGAGUAACACGUGGAUAACCUACCUAUAAGACUGGGAUAACUUCGGGAAACCGGAGCUAAUACCGGAUAAUAUAUUGAACCGCAUGGUUCAAUAGUGAAAGACGGUUUUGCUGUCACUUAUAGAUGGAUCCGCGCCGCAUUAGCUAGUUGGUAAGGUAACGGCUUACCAAGGCAACGAUGCGUAGCCGACCUGAGAGGGUGAUCGGCCACACUGGAACUGAGACACGGUCCAGACUCCUACGGGAGGCAGCAGUAGGGAAUCUUCCGCAAUGGGCGAAAGCCUGACGGAGCAACGCCGCGUGAGUGAUGAAGGUCUUCGGAUCGUAAAACGCUGUUAUUAGGGAAGAACAAAUGUGUAAGUAAAUAUGCACGUCUUGACGGUACCUGAUCAGAAAGCAACGGCUAACUACGUG
Molecule: ribosomal RNA, 497 nt
Filed under: uncultured bacterium
Lineage: Bacteria
Description: partial 16S ribosomal RNA
Rfam family: Bacterial small subunit ribosomal RNA
Source: RNAcentral